GACCCCUCCAUUUCCAUUCUCCUGUAAGUAACAUGAGGGCUAGAAACCCUAAACAGCCUGUACAUAAAAACAAACCAAAGCUGGGUAAAGCUUUGAAACAACAUUACACACAUUAUCAGAAAGCUCAUAACUGCAGGAAACUCUGUGUUUAUGAACACACGGGAACCUAUUUGUUCCAAACACACAAAAAAAGGUUAUUUCUCUGUCGCUUAAAGACAGCACAACAAUAAGAGCCGUGUAAAGUAGUCACACAGCAGCAUUUACAUCUUCAUAAGCAGCCAUUACACUAAAAUCACAUUAGGCUCACAUAUAACAUGAGGGUUUUUAAUAACACGACUUUAUUGCCAGCAACUCUGUGUGUGCCUCAAUAUUGAUGUCCAAAGUGUGUUGUGAAAACACACACAUAUAUACGCAAACAGACAAGCACAGACACACACGAGCUUAGUAUUAGCAUGUCCCAACAGGAACAUGGGGCUUCACUGCAGGAAUACAUCUCUGUGAUUGUUCAGCAGUGUGUGUGUGUGUGUGUGUGUGUGUGUGUGUGUGUGUGUGUGUGUGUGUGUGUGUGUGUGUGUGUGUGUGUGUGUGUGUGUGUGUGUGUGUGUGUGUGAGCAGGCAGAGGGUGUGUAGGGAUACUGAAGCUGCUUUUCCCAGGAGAUGACAGAGAGAGGCAGUACUGUCUUGUCUGUAUAUCACAGGGUAAGAGUACACACACACACACACACACACACAGACACUCACACUUUCAUCUGAAAUGUAUGGGUAGAACAUCAGUACUUUUCUAUGAUGUGUGUAUCUUGUUUUGCAGAAAUACUGUAUGUCCUGCAUUACAUUUACUGCUUCACACAUCAACAAAAACAGCAGUACUCACAGUUUAUGUACAGUAUGAGUAAGGAAAUAUGACUUUUUUGUUGACAAUUGGGUAAAGUUUUUCUGUUUCUGCACUUUAUCUAUCCACGUAUUAGUUUUAUUUUGACAACUUUUUACUUCUCUUCCUGAGAUUUCAACCUAAAUCAACUCACAUACUUUGAAAUCAGGCCUCUUUUCUCAUUUUUUUUCUUCAUAAGGGAAGUGUUUGUCAUUUUUAUGAAGUGUUGCUCUGCUUUAUUGCCAUGGCAUUUGGGUGGCAGUAGCUUGGGAGGCAGAGCAGUUGUCCAAAAACUGGAAGGUUGGCAGUUCAAUUCCCCCGUAUCUUUGGUCUAUACGUUGUGUCCUUGGGCAAGACACUUAACCCACAUUGCUCCCAGUGUUGGAGAGGCCGUAGACGCAAACUGGCAGCCAUGUGUCAGUCAGUCUGCCCCAGGGCAGCUGUGGCCACUAAGGUAGUUUACCACUGUGACUGUGUGUUCAAAAUGAAUGAUGUAUCCAAUGUAAAGCACAUUGAGGGUCUCUGAUAAAGCGCUAUAUAAAAUCUGAUGCAUUAUUAUUAUUAGACUCUUUCUUUAACUGGUUACAAUUCUGCUUUUGGGGAAGUUCAGAAUACGCUGCCGAGGGGAACUCCAAGUCCAGAACACAACCUGUCACCUCUGGCAUUUCCCAAAGUUUAAUCCUAAACCCCACUCUCUUCAUCCUUCACACUCUCUCCUUCACACAUGUGCCAAGACACCAACAUUUAUGCUAGUUUUUUUCCUCCUCUAUAAUAAUAAUAAUAAUGCAUCAGAUUUCAUAUAGCGCUUUAUCAGAGACCCUCAAAGCGCUUUACAUUGAAUACAUCAUUCAUUCGUUCACACAGUCACUCCAGUGGUGGUAAACUACCUUAAUAGUCACAGCUGCCCUGGAGCAGACUGACUGACACAUGGCUACCAGUUUGCGUCUACAGCCUCUCCGACCACCACCUCACAACACUCACAAUCAUACACCAGUGGAGGACACACACUGGGAGCAGGGUGGGUUAAAUGUCUUGCCCAAGGACACAACAGACAGACUCAGGAUAGGGGGUAAUCGAACCGCCAACCUUCUGAUUAUUAGACGACCGCUCCACCUCCUGAGCUACUGCCGCCCCAAGCAUGUAAUCUUUUUCACAUACCUUGAAAUGUUUUGGCCCAAACUUCUGCCUUCCUCAGAACCGUCACUUGGUGGUAGGGCUGACGUUAUUUUCGUAUACUAAAAUGAACGUUGCAGUUUGUUUGUCCUCCUCUUUUUUAUCAUUGCAAUAGUUAUUUCACUACAAGAGUAGUUAGAUUUUUUUUGUUCCUUUUGCUAAGCCCCGCCCACAAAAAAUGAUGUGAUGUGUUACAAACACUGAAAAGGUCUGCAAGAAAAAGUAAAUCUUUCAGAAUUCGUCCAUUCAAAGCCUCAAUAUGUGAAUCCAAAUAUAUAGUCGAGAGGAGUAAUUUGUAAAUGGGAAGUAAACCAAAUAUGGUCUGAUAAAGAAAGGUAAUAUUUUCACUGUGAGUGCUGUUUUCAUCCCCACAGACUGUUUUUCAAAUGUGAGUGGUGGUGGUGGUUGGUGGGGGGUUUAGUAUUGACCAGCAGUGUUUGUGCCCUUCUUGGUGACUUUAGGGCAUCGGGAAGGUUAAAGAAAGGGGAGGGUAAAAAGAGGAAAUGAUAGGGAAGGCUGAGAGAGGGAAGGGAGAUGACAGGACAUGGAGAGAAAAGGAGAGGAAGAGUGGAAGAGGAGGAGGAGCAGGGGAGCCCCGUCACAUGGGACCAAGCUAUUGAUUAAAUUCUGACAUUGAUUAAGCAUCCCCUGAUUCACAAUGCCAUGUGUUUGUGCAUGAGUGUGUGUGAGUGUUUGUGCAUGUAUGUGUGUGUGAGUGUGUGUGUGUUUGUGCAGGAUGAUCACAUUUUUACUCUAGAUGACUUUAGAAGUGGAUCAAGUGAAUAAAAGGAAAAAUAAAUAGUUUAUUUUCUAUCAGUUUGUCUAUUUUUUUCACAUAAACAUAUGAUGAUGAUGAUGAUGUGUGCUCUUUUGAAACCUGUAUGUGUGUGCAUAUUGUGCCUAUAGAUCUCAACCCCUAGGAGGCCUGACUUGCAAUACCACUUCAUCCAUCCUUGUGGGAUAAAAAAAGGGUCUCUCUCUCUCUCUCUCUCUCCUCUUCUUUCUCUUCCUCUGUCUCCUUUGUGUGCACUCUUUUCUUUUUUAUUCAUCAUUAAUCCUCCAGUCUGGGUUGGGGAUGUCACAGCCUCUCCCUCCCUCCGCUGCCCUCUCUCUACCACUCGCCCUCUCUUUAACGUUAUUGUGUGUGUGAAAGAGAGAGUGUGUGUGAAGGGCAGGGGCUUGUCAUCCCGUGCCCCUGUCACUCUGCCUCUCCAUUCAGAGCGUGGCGCCCUCUUUGCCAGUGAUAAUUAACCCCUCCCCACCUUAUUUCCCCCUCGUCUUUACCAUCCUUCCCAUCUCAUCUCUGCACUCACUGAAUUAUGCUUUCAUAAAGACCUAUAAGUCUUGGAAUAAAUGAAUUUCCCUUUGGGGAUCAAUACAGUUCUUGUAUUCUACUGUAUACUUAUAACGUUAUAUCAUUAUUACUGUGUGUUUUAUCUUUUGCUCUGAUAUUGUAAUGACAAAGCCAUGAAGAUCGUGAUUUGAGUCUGCUAAUGACUGUGUUUGGGUCAUGGACAGGGUGCAACAGGUCAGGAUCUGUGGAGAGCCUCAACCUGAGGGUUGUUAUACAAACACAAACAGCAGCUGAUACACUGUGCCCGUAAAUACUGGGAAGCAUACACACAGUAUGCUUACAUGUAUAGUUGGGCUGAGCUAAAGCCAGAGCUCGAUUAGGUCAUUUAACUGGACUACUGUCCCCAGUUUACAUGCAGUGUGCAAGAAUUGAAUUAUCAGCAAAGGUGUAUCCAUUUCUGCUCCAACAGGUGGCAAAUCUUCCCCCUUUCAACUUGUUAUCAUCAGGUUGUCUCUUGGUAGAUGUAUAACAAAUCAAAGCAGUCGGCAAAACAUGUUAGUAAGAGGCUAUUGUGAUGUAACUUAUAAAGCUUCCUACAGUUUACAUCCUUUCUUUGUCAGUAAGGGUUUUCUCCUUUAGCUAGGCUUCUAGCUAUGCAUCUAUGCUGUUGAUGCUGGCUCUGAGGCUGGCGUGCGAACACUUGAGUAUGCAUAGAAAGUUUAGGCCAGUUUCAGCUAAACUGUGCUGUAUACAUAAAAAAAAAAAAAGAUCUCCAACCACAUGAUCCAGGUAAGUUAGUCUGUCUAUGAGAAGUUUGAUUUCAGUCGACUAACAUAUUUACAUUCAUUUAAAAAACUUACUUGAUUUUUAAGUGCAUGUAAACUGACAUUGAAUCAAACUGCUCAUGGUAAUGUUUGGUUAAUAUUUGGUCAGAUCACAUGUAGUAUACCAAGUUAACCAUAGAACACUAUGUUUUUAGUUGAGUUGCAUUUGUCUGGGUGUCAUGGGCCCCUGAGUAGCUUUAGCAUCGCCCUUUUACAUCUUUGAAAAUGUGGGUGUUUCUGUUACUCCAAAACUUGCUUUUUCUGACAGGCACGUGUUCGAGUGAUUUUAACCCCACAGUAGUGAUAGAGUAUAAAGUAGGUUAUGGGUUGAUUUUUAGUGUUAAAUUUAUUAAUUCAGGUAAUUUUGCAGCAUUUCAAGGGUGACAACCAUAGCCUGUAUGUAGAAUAGACGCACUCUGCCCACUGGGUGAAGCUUCAGCGAGAACAGCACCCCCUGGUGACGGGCUGCAGUAUAGGUUAUUAAUUUCAAAAUGAAAGAAGCUGUGGACGAACUUAAAAAAAUAAAUACACAGAAUAUAAAUUUUUCUCCCCCCCCCCCCGAUUGCUUGUUGACGUGUAGUUAUUGUAAGACUGGUUUGUGCUUAAGUCCUCUUUUUUCUAUGCAGCUCCAUUUUUAAAAGUUAUUAGCCUUUAAAAUUUUCUAUGAUUGACACUUGGUACAGUCUGUGGGAGUACAAAGGUUGCGUAGGACAUCCAGGGUGUACGCUGUUUCAGCAGAGCAUUGUCACAGCAACUCUCCAGCCGAACUAUAUCAGGAGCAAUUUGGCUUUGUACAAUGACUGGCCACAUUCUCAGUGUCUUUGUGUUGAGCCCAAAACACACAUUUAAUUGCUCAACUUCACAUGCCUAUUGCUCAGACUUUGGUAAAAAUGUGGUUCACUUUGAAGUGUUGGUAUGAGAUGGCUGAUCAGAAUCAAGAACUCGCGCUAGCUGUGUAAUGGAAAUAGAUAAAUAAAGGAGCUUUUGAUAUGUUAGCAUGAGAAGUCAAUCACAUAAGUUCUUAGUAAGGCUGUAUUUUUAACUUCUCAUAGACAUACACCUCUUCUGAUAAUAAAAAAAGACAAAAAUAUGCGUAAAAAUAUCAACUGGUUUGAUCCAUAACAGAGGAGAGGGAAGACAAAUACAUGUUUUUUGAUAAGAAACGCAAGAGCUUCCUCAGUGGACAGAAUGUGUACCCUCCUGGACAGCUUAGGUAUGUGUUUAUGUGUGUUUCACUCACACAGACACACAAACAAACAAGGUUUUACAUGUAUUGUACACACACACACAGACUCUGUCUGAGCUCUCUCCUCCUAAUUGCUCUUGAAUGGUGACCCUGAUAAACAAAAAGCAGCUCAGGAGCGAGCAAACAAAAGCUUGUUUUGUCGUUUAUUAUCACUCCUUCACUCUUUUCCUUUUAUUUGUGCCUCUGGUUGGUCAGAGGGGACAGGGGAGGCGGGGGGAUUGUCUUCUCUGUCUCUCUAUCAGAUGCCUGGUGUGUUGCGUGUAUUGAUCGCUGAGGCUCAGUAGCAGAAAAUAAUGGGGUGGUGAAAGCUUAGUAGAGAAAGAGAUGGAGAGAAAGAGAGAAAAAGAAAUCUAGAAAUGAGUAAGUGUGUGUGUGAGCGUGUAUUUCUGCUAACACACACACACACAAACACUACACUCCCAUACACAAUCCUAAUUCUCUGCCUCCUUGCUGCCCUGUGCCCUCAUAUGAAUAUUGGUUCUCUCCUAAGUCCUCCAUGUCACCGUUACGUGUCUCUGAAUUUGUGUGUGUAUGUGUGUGUAUGUAUGUCCAGGCAGCCUCAUUUGCAUAUGUGUGUGUGCGCGCAUGUGUGUUAUCUAUGUGAAUAAAUCCUUCCAAGCCCCGUGCGCCUCAGGGUGAUGUGAUGCGGCCAGUGCCCGAGCAACCAUACCCUAGCUAAUUUACAACCAUCCUAGUGUGUCCCCCUGACUCCCACACACACACAUACACACACACACACACACACGACUUGAUGACACCACGGUGAAACAUGUCGUCUAGACGACAUUGAACCCUGAGUCCGCCCAGGGUAAUUGUUUUAUGCAAAUGGAGAGAGCUAGGGCUGACAUGAUUGGGCCAGACUUGGUGUUGAUUGAAGUGUGCGUGAGUGUGUGUAUGUGUGUGUGUGUAACAGUUGUAAUGGAUGUGACCAUGAUAGUGGUGUAAUGCUGGUAGCCAUUAGUAUUAUUGUUAUUGUAGGAAAUGUUCUAUUAUUCAGAGGGGCAGGGCCACGCAAUAUACAUAACAUGGAGAAAUAUGGAGGAAAAUGACAUCAAUAUGCACACAACACACACAAGCAGACACAUGCAAAAACAUAUGUGUGUAAUAUCUAACUUCUCAUUGGAUUGACUUCAUUAUCAGCCCACACAUCACAGCGUUAAAGAAAAUAUGAAUCACAACAACAAUGCAUGUAAAAAUAUUGACGCCACUUAAUGAAAUGUUAGAGUUUGGAUCCUAAACACACAAACACAGACACACACACACACACACACCAAGGGCCAUGUGCUAUCAGGGUAGCCAUCAGAGGGGAGAGAGUGUGUGCGUGUGCGUGUGUGUGUGUGUGUGUGUGUUGUGGUCCAAGUCGUAAAUUUAAUUUCAUGCUGGAUUUGCAGAGCUCAUCUGAAUUGCAUGUGGGCACAGCCUGAUGGGCCUCAGUCUCAACGCUGGAGAGUCACACACUGAGACGCAGAUGCUGCUAUUGAUGGCGCACGCAAGAAUUCGCACAGAUAAACACAUAGACAAACACACACAUAUACACACACUCACAAACACAGGCAGAAGUUAGAUCUCAAGGUUAUGAUACCAACAUGGCCUGGAGGUAAAACCCCAAAUCUUAAACUUUUCACUUCUGUGAACAACUAAAUUUAUGGAGUGUGGAACUCAAAAAGUAUCAACGACACAAACGCUUAAGAACAGGCUCAAAAUAUCAAAAGUCUUGACUCUAUUAACUGUUUGCCACACCCAUGGUAAGAUGUCAAAUAUCGUGUCAACUGAGGCUUACUUCCUGACACAUUUUUAUGUGCACUGCAGGGCGGAUAUGCCAGGCAAAGGGCUGCAGCCGUGUCUUUAUAACAACUGCUUUCAGCAGGUACAGGUCAUGUCAGGAGAUUUCCCAGACUGGCAAAGUUGUCACAUCAUUAUCUCUGUACUUCAGCAGCAUCAGUGCCAUUUUAAGUAAUGGUUUUCUGAUGUCUGACUCUGAACUGGUCAAGCUCAUGAUUGACACCUGACCAUAUGGGCAUGCAUGUUUUUCUCAAUUAGAACAAGUAAGCAGAAAACUGGACACUGUAAUUGUGGAUCCAGUGAAUGCCAACCAGGGUUUCAACGUUCAAAUUAGGGUUAAAGCAGAAAAAUUAUUCUUUAAAGACCCAGUCUGAUGAAAAUCUUUUUUUUCUUGUUGUCUACAUGUUCAUACUUUUCUGAUACCAGAGGACAUAUCAUAAUCAUAGAAUAAUAUGUGCUAAAUUGCAAUUCUGAGUAUUUCUGCAUUCAAAUCGCUGUGAACCUCUGGCAGACCCAAACGACAGGCUCACAGGCAAAACCCAAAGGAUCCGGAAUGGCUACGCUCCGCUUCGGCACGGCCAGCGGAUCAAAUCCGCAAGCAUUAUAAUCAAUGUGUGUCAUUUCACAGAAUCCGGCCAGCGUCUGGCUCCGCUGUGGAUCGGCUCCAGUGGCCGGAUCAGAUGCGCAAGGCUUCUAUUUUUGCCGGAUGCUGGAGCAUGGUGCAUCAAUUCAGUGCAGCGAAGCACGAGCACAGCGGAAGUUGUUACGGAGUAAAAUACCUGGUUAAUUUUCAAAAUAAAAAAAGUUAAUACAUUGAACUGUUCUUAACUUGAUAAUAGAAGAGGCCAGGGUUGUGGGAUGUAGUUGUUUAUAUACAGCGCCGUUUAUAUACACCAAUUGGUCACUCUGACUACCGGGGAAACAUGCGAGAGCCCGUGAGAUCUGGUCCAGUCUCGCAAGAAAUACAGGUAAUCUCGUGAGCGCUUCUCCUUCGAUGGCGGCGGAGGAUCAGAUCUGAUGGGCGCUGUAUGCUUGCCCAUCAGCGGAUCUGUGGGUUUAGCUAGUCAGACACAGCAAGAUUUCUGACCUCACAACUGCAAGCUCCGCCCCCCGGAGCCCCGCUAUGCAGGCCAGACUCGAAGAAGUAAAGAAGACAAUCGCGGAACAAGCUAACUCUGGUGUAUGUUUUAUACAGUCUAUGGCUGCUGUUUCCUUCUUGCAAAUACUGAUGUAAAAAGAAGAUGUACAGUUCAGCUGGGUCCAUGCUUUCAGCUGCUUAUCUUCAUUCAGAACCCUGUAAUACCAACCCACAUGAACACACACAGUCAUAACAAUUGUUCGAUCUGCCUUCACAAACUGAGGUAUCAUUCUGGACCUUGUUUGGCCUGCAGGGUUUUCAUCCAUCAUACCAACCUGUUUUAUGUGGCAUGCUUUUUUUUUUUUUUCUCUGAGUACAAGAAUUUACUUUUCUUACUUUUCUCUUUACUGUCUCUGAACAAAAACUAGCCGAGGUCACGGCAAUUCAAUCACAACUUUAUGAAGGACAAAGAAAGAGCAGAGUUUUAAAAAAAACCUUUGUUUUUCUUUCAAAAAAGACAAAAAAGAACUAUUUAAAACACAAUGAAUGGAGGAAAAAAGCAGAAGACACUCUGAGAAGUAAGCGCUGUCAUUCCCCUCUGUCCUCUCCACAGUCCCCUUUCAUUUUGUGCCAUCAACUGUUGUACAAAGAGACAUUCUUUGAACGCUUUAGAGAGAAACAUUCAAGAAGGCAGGUAUUUGUUUGAGUCCCUCACAGCAGAUGAACAUUUUGAAACUCUUAUAAGUCAUCCUUUGUUUUUCUUUCUUUCCCAGAGAGUACAUGAACACGCUCCUUGUGGAGGAUUGUCUCUAAGAGCAGAAGGAAAAAUGGAGAUAUUCACCCCGUGGUCAUUUUGACUGAACGCUUUUCCAGGUCCUUCACUCUUUGACUCAGAGUGUCCCAGGACAGUCUGAAGGAAGAGGUUUUGCAGGAGGAACACACAAUUACCACAAAAAAGAGAGGGGGCUACAUAAAUACUUCAUCGUUCAAUAAAUCUACAAAGACAUCAUUCUACUGGAAUUUCACUCUGAUAUAAAUCUUUAUUGACCAGAUACUUCAUGGUCUGUAAAAUUUGCAAGUGAAUGAUAUGCUCCAAGGUUGUUUGAUUCUAUUUUUUCUUAUUGUGUUUCUAGAUGCAUAACAGCGUAACAAAGUGCCACAUUCAUUUUCCUCAUUCAGGUACCUGCAAUCAUGCAACAGGUACAUGCAUGUGAACACAGCUUUACAUGCAACUUGACCAUGUUAACUAAAGAUUUUGAAUAUUGCUUGUUUUUUUUCUUUUUGUUUGUGUUCAAUUAAGAUUUUAACUUGGUUAUCAAGCAGGUGACAAAUGUCAAACCAAUAAAGAAGAGUUAAAAUUGCAGUUCCUCAAGUGACCACUCGAGGCCUUACCUAAAAAACCUAGGACUCUAAUACACACCCAUUAAAAAAGCCCAUCUUGACAGCAAAAAUGAACAGGUGAACAGUCUAUGGCAAGGUUUGGGGUUUCUUGUAAGUAGGGUUGACUUGACAGACAGGUGAAUACGCUGUUUCAUUUAUGAAAAUAUUAUGAAGAGUAAGAAGCAGAGAGUUAUUUAUACAUUUGCACAAGAGGCACAGAUGGAUUUGACUGACAGAUGGUUAUGUCGUUGCUCUUAUUAUGGCGCCCUCACCCGUUGGGCUUCAAAAGAUCUGACUUAAAACCUAUAGGCCACAUCACAGGAAGUGCGUCCACAUUUAUGCAGCCUUUGUUCACACAAUGUAAAAUGAACCUAGUAUAGCUGCUGGGGAAGAUGAUAAGAUAGAAAUCUUGAAAGUGCAGUAAAAGAAAGAAGAUUAGUCAAAAUUUUGUCGUUAUAUAAAGGUUUAUUUGAUCAAGUUACUUGUUUUACAAUAUGGUGUCAUAUGUUGCUCAAAUGUACUGAUCGCAUCCUGACUGAUCUAUGUCUCAGCAUGUAAAUAAACCUGGAUGGAGAUCUGUAAUUAAACAAAGUCAGUGAAUCAAGAUGGAAGGAUUUACACUUGAAAAGGUCAGGGAUGUUACAAAUCCUUCAAACAAAGUACUGACUGGGCCUUUUAGAGCUGCCAGUCCAUUUUCAGCCCCCUACCUGUGAGAGAUAUUAAACUUGGUUAUACAAAGAGACAGGAGAGGCUUAUAAAGAUUUGAGAGUUUUUGGUGUUAUUUUAAAACUGUUGGCAACAUUUAAAUGGUGUUAUAAUGUAGGUGGUCUACAAGCCUGCAACUAGCAUAAAGAGACAGGGCUCAAAGGUGAUUAUGCAUCGAGAAAAACAGAUUCAAAACAAGUUUUCUAGUGACUGUGGCGCUUCAGCUACAAGUGCAAGAGAAGAGGGCCUGAGAAAAAAAGAAACAAAACAAGCCUCUACAAACAUAUAAGAGAAGAUAACUUUCACAAACAUCCUCCACACAGACACUACAGCCGCUCUCCCAGGGCGCUUUACCUUCCAAAAGCUGCUCCAGCAACUGAGACAAAAGCCAGACACGCACACCUACACACACACACAAACCAACACACACUCUUCUUUCCCCUCGCUUCGCCUCGCCUGGCCAGUCUCAACAUCCCAGCGCUCUUUGAGACGACGUCCCAACAAUUCCACCGGGUCCCUCAUUAAGGCCCAGGCGCCGACUCUCAAGGGGAGUUGCGAGGGAGGGGCAGCUGGGUAAACUUUGGAGAGGUCACCUCCUCGUUUCCUUCCUCUGCCUCCUCUCAUCCCUUGUUCCGGCCCAUCCUCAGGUCCUGUCAGCGGAGAGUGUAAACAAGCAGAAGGUUAGCAGUGUUUUCACCCAACUCUGUCUUUUCUCAUUAGGGACAGAGGACAGGAAGACAGUACCACCACCACUGCCACACUUUGUUGUUUAAGGUAACUUGGUGUAUCAUCUCUGGUUUCUAAGUUGUUGAUAUGUUACAGUUUCAGUUUGAUGAAGGCAUCUACAUGAUUAGUUUUAGUAAAAGAUCAUUGGCUGUUCCUAAUUUUUUUCAUUUUGUUUUGGAAUAAACUUAAAAUGCAUUAAUUUAAACAGCAGGAUAUGGUUUAAAGAUGUCCAAUCAUUUACUCAGUGACAUCAGAUGAUCAUUAAACUUCCAUAUCACCAUUAUCAACACCGGAGUCCCACAGGACUGUGUCCCGGGACCCUUUCAGUUCAACAUCUAUAGUAAAGACUGUACCCAUACCUAACCAAUCACCACAUCCUUCAAAAGCUCCAAUGAUACUGCCGUAUUCAUACUCCUGGAUGAUCAUAACCCUGUUUUAAAUUGUCUAGACUUCAUCUACCACUUCACACAAUGGUGCACAGAUAGUAUCCUUCAGCUAAAUGUAGCAAAAACAAACUGGUUAUCAAUGUUUCCAGCACUCAAUCCAUCAGCAUCAAUGAUGAAACUGGUGAGAUGGUUUAAGUGCUUCAAAUUGCGAAGACUUGCCCCAGACUAUGAAGUGAAUUUCUCAUAACACACCAAUGACAUACUUAAACACUGCCAUCAAAGACUGUCUGUAGCCCCUUACCUUCUGCUAUCACUUUACAAAGACAUUUUCUAACCCAUUCCUCUGUGCUGUUCUCCCUGUUACUGCUGUAUAACAUGCUAACUGCCUUCAACAACAGCCAACUCAUUCACAUCUCAAACAGUGCCUCCAAAAUUAACGGCCUCCCACACCUUACCUAUUUGACCUGAACAGAGGAGCAAUCACACGCACCAUAACACUUGACCCUAGGUACCCUCUCUGCUUAUUCCUCACACCGCUCCCAUCUGGUGGUAUAUAUAGAUCCCUGGUCUGGAAAUGAGGGUGGUUUGGCAUGACCUGUACUCCUCUGCCAUCGCACUCUUGAGCAAAACAUCCCAUUAAAGCUUUUUGUGCGUAUAUGGACUCCUGUGGAAUAUGAAGGUAUGUGGAAUUUAUUGAUGUCUUUCAGGUACAGAGGGUGCAGAUGUUCUCUGUGUUUUCUUUGGAUAUUUGCCAUGUACAGACUAUGGUAACAAACUCCCUUGUAAAAGGACUCUACUUUUAUUUUUUAUUUGACCUUUAUUUAGCCAGGUAAGUCCCAUUGAGAUCAGAGAUCUCUUUUUCAAGGGAGACCUGACCAAGAAUGGCAACAAUACACAGCCAUGUGCUCAAACUAACAUCAACACAUAACAGUGUACACCUCAUGAUACCACCAAUAUGACUCCAUGGCUCAAGAAUCCAUCAGAAUCACACUUACACAUUACAUUACCUUAAUAUAGGCUAGUCCAGCAACACUUAAUUUUCAGAGCAUUUAAAACCAGUAACCACAUAUUCACAAUUAAGAAUAGGAAACGAAGAUCACAGAUACUGUCAAAGCUUAAAAAUAAAAGGCAGAUAUUAAGAUAUUAGUCAAAAAAAGGCCACCAAAAUUUCGCUAUGUUAGCUCAAACAAGUUUGUCCAAUAAAUUGCGCAUUCUCCCCAGACAUGUUUCAGACAUACUCAAAGAAGUCCAGUUGACUUUAGAAAAUAAAGUAAAAUGACAAGUCAGAAAUUCACAGGUAGUGAUAUAUCUCACACUGUCCUGCAAAUGAAGACUGAACAGAAGCAUUCAUGUACACAACAUCACUGUAAUCAAGAACAGAUAAAAAAGAAGACUAAACAAGUGUCUUUUUGGCAUAAAAAGAGAAACAAGACUUUUUUGUGUAAUAGAAGCCAAGUAGGACCUUCAGCUUUUCAGCAACAUAUUUAAUGUGCUCCUUAAAGAUUUAAUUUUCUGUAUCUUUGAUGCUUUUGGGGUAAAAAAAUAUACUAAGAAAAGAUUUGUGUUAAAAGGU
Xyrichtys novacula (pearly razorfish) is the source of this 13035-nucleotide non-coding RNA. NCBI's taxonomy places the organism in Eukaryota, Metazoa, Chordata, Actinopteri, Labriformes, Labridae. The record is from the annotation of a GenBank genome assembly.